AUCGCUUCCCGGCCUUUUGGCUAAGAUCAAGUGUAGUAUCUGUUCUUAUCAGUUUAAUAUCUGAUACGUCCUCUUUCCGAGGACAAUUUUUUGUUUGGGCUUCCUUGGUAGCUCAGAGGUUAAAGCGUCUGCCUCCAAUGCGGAAAACCCGGGUUCGAUCCUGGGGUCGGGAAGAUCCCCUAGAGAAGGAAAUGGCAA
Molecule: small nuclear RNA, 198 nt
Filed under: Capra hircus (goat)
Lineage: Eukaryota; Metazoa; Chordata; Mammalia; Artiodactyla; Bovidae
Description: U2 spliceosomal RNA (ENSCHIG00000002555.1)
Rfam family: U2 spliceosomal RNA (bases 1-106)
About the family: U2 is a small nuclear RNA (snRNA) component of the spliceosome (involved in pre-mRNA splicing). Complementary binding between U2 snRNA (in an area lying towards the 5' end but 3' to hairpin I) and the branchpoint sequence (BPS) of the intron results the bulging out of an unpaired adenosine, on the BPS, which initiates a nucleophilic attack at the intronic 5' splice site, thus starting the first of two transesterification reactions that mediate splicing.
Source: RNAcentral